Molecule: ribosomal RNA, 305 nt
Filed under: uncultured bacterium
Lineage: Bacteria
Description: bacterial SSU rRNA
Rfam family: Bacterial small subunit ribosomal RNA
Source: RNAcentral
UUCCUACGGGGCGCAGCAGUGAGGAAUAUUGGUCAAUGGUCGGGAGACUGAACCAGCCAAGCCGCGUGAGGGAUGAAGGUACAGAGUAUCGUAAACCUCUUUUGUCAGGGAACAAAGGCGGGGACGCGUCCCCGGAUGAGUGUACCUGAAGAAAAAGCAUCGGCUAACUCCGUGCCAGCAGCCGCGGUAAUACGUAGGUGGCGAGCGUUAUCCGGAAUGAUUGGGCGUAAAGGGUGCGUAGGCGGCCUGCUAAGUUUGGAGUGAAAGGUACCGGCUCAACCGGUACAGGCUCUGGAGACUGGCGG